This 303-nucleotide ribosomal RNA is filed under the name uncultured eukaryote. RNAcentral describes it as "partial large subunit ribosomal RNA". It matches the Rfam family "Eukaryotic large subunit ribosomal RNA", at positions 40 to 350 of the family's 3401-position model. The record is from RNAcentral.
AUAUCAAUAAGCGGAGGAAAAGAAACUAACAAGGAUUCCCUUAGUAGCGGCGAGCGAAACGGGAAUAGCCCAACUUGAAAAUCUCCAUUGGAGAAUUGUAGUCUAUAGAAGUGCCCUCUGUAGCGGCAUGGCCCUAAGUUCCCUGGAAAGGGACGUCAGAGAGGGUGAGAACCCCGUCGGGCCUCGCUUAGCUACCUCACGAGGUGCUUUCCACGAGUCGGGUUGCUUGGGAAUGCAGCCCUAAGUGGGUGGUAAAUCCCAUCUAAGGCUAAAUAUUGGCGAGAGACCGAUAGCGCACAAGUA